RNAcentral lists this ribosomal RNA (831 nucleotides) under Triticum aestivum (bread wheat). RNAcentral's name for it is "partial small subunit ribosomal RNA". Lineage: Eukaryota; Viridiplantae; Streptophyta; Magnoliopsida; Poales; Poaceae. The record is from RNAcentral.
AUGAACGUAACAAUAAGCAAUAGGGUAAGAGAAUGCCAUGGAGCUUGCCCUCGCGCCGAGGUACCCAUGUUCUGUUCUGCGCCCGGCUGGUGGCGACGAAGCUGCCCAACUACUGCGGGUGACUGGCAGCGUUCGUGCCGGAGAUGCUGCCGGGCCCGAGCUACAACGCGGAGAAGAUCUUCGACACGGUGGUGUGGCAGACGCGGUGCCACCUCACCAGUUGCAGGAACAAGGACGAGAUCCUGGCGAGGCUCCACAAGAUCGAGGCCGACAAGCAGAAGUACACGGAGGGCGUGGAGCAGCACCAUCGCGGAGAAGGCAGCACUGCUGGGCGGGCAGCUAGGGGCGGCCCUGGGCCAGGAUUACAGGCGGCGGUGGGCGGUGCUGGGCAAGUUCUUGGAGGAGCUACUGCUGUUCCUCGCGCCGACGGACAACGUGGACAUCCACACCGAGGUGCUCGGCACCGGUGACGAGUUCAUGAUGCCGCUAUGGGUGCUGCUCGCCCACGUCGCUGGUGAUGUCAUCGAAUUCUUCCGGUGCCUCGUCCACGGAGGGGCGCCGGCUCAACUGGUGGGUUUCCUCAAGGCCGGCCCGGAGGAUGCCCUGGUGCACUACUACCCCAUGGCUGGUCGCCUGCAGGAGCUCCCACACGGGAAGAAGCUAGUGGUGGACUGCACGGCGGAGGUGGUGGUGUUCGUGGAGGCGUACGCCACGUGCGGCUGGAGGAAUUCGCCAAGCCGCUGGUGCCACCAUACCCCUGCGUUGACGAGCUCAUGUGCGAUGUGGGUGAUACGGGAGCUAUCGUCAGCAAGCCGUUGCUCUAGAAACUAA